Molecule: ribosomal RNA, 258 nt
Filed under: uncultured bacterium
Lineage: Bacteria
Description: partial 16S ribosomal RNA
Rfam family: Bacterial small subunit ribosomal RNA
Source: RNAcentral
UACGGGAGGGUGCAAGCGUUAUCCGGAUUUACUGGGUUUAAAGGGUGUGUAGGCGGACUUUUAAGUCAGCGGUGAAAUCUCCGGGCUCAACCCGGAAACUGCCAUUGAUACUAUUGGUCUUGAAUAUUGUGGAGGUGGGCGGAACGGGUCAUGUAGCGGUGAAAUGCUUAGAGAUGACCCGGAACACCGAUUGCGAAGGCAGCCCACUACGCAAUGAUUGACGCUGAGGCAACGGAAAAGCGUGGGGGAGCAAACAGG